RNAcentral lists this ribosomal RNA (301 nucleotides) under uncultured bacterium. RNAcentral describes it as "partial 16S ribosomal RNA". It matches the Rfam family "Bacterial small subunit ribosomal RNA", at positions 509 to 807 of the family's 1533-position model. The record is from RNAcentral.
CAGUCGCCGCGGUAAUACGGAGGGUGCAAGCGUUAAUCGGAAUUACUGGGCGUAAAGCGUGCGUAGGCGGUUCGUUAAGUCUGUUGUGAAAGCCCCGGGCUCAACCUGGGAAUGGCAAUGGAUACUGGCGAGCUAGAGUGUGUUAGAGGAUGGUGGAAUUCCCGGUGUAGCGGUGAAAUGCGUAGAGAUCGGGAGGAACAUCAGUGGCGAAGGCGGCCAUCUGGGACAACACUGACGCUGAGGCACGAAAGCGUGGGGAGCAAACAGGAUUAGAUACCCCUGUAGUCCCUGUCUCUUAUAC